Marasmius tenuissimus is the source of this 101-nucleotide non-coding RNA. The record is from the annotation of a GenBank genome assembly. Lineage: Eukaryota; Fungi; Basidiomycota; Agaricomycetes; Agaricales; Marasmiaceae.
GUGCCCGUAACUCAGUGGUAGAGUGUGAGAUUGCAAUUCAAGGGUUAUAACGCAACAGUUGCAAUAUCUUGAAGCCCCGUGUUCGACCCACGGCGGGCACU